CCUACGGGAGGCUGCAGUAGGGAAUCUUCGGCAAUGGACGAAAGUCUGACCGAGCAACGCCGCGUGAGUGAAGAAGGUUUUCGGAUCGUAAAACUCUGUUGUUAGAGAAGAACAAGGACGUUAGUAACUGAACGUCCCCUGACGGUAUCUAACCAGAAAGCCACGGCUAACUACGUGCCAGCAGCCGCGGUAAUACGUAGGUGGCAAGCGUUGUCCGGAUUUAUUGGGCGUAAAGCGAGCGCAGGCGGUUUCUUAAGUCUGAUGUGAAAGCCCCCGGCUCAACCGGGGAGGGUCAUUGGAAACUGGGAGACUUGAGUGCAGAAGAGGAGAGUGGAAUUCCAUGUGUAGCGGUGAAAUGCGUAGAUAUAUGGAGGAACACCAGUGGCGAAGGCGGCUCUCUGGUCUGUAACUGACGCUGAGGCUCGAAAGCGUGGGGAGCAAACAGGAUUAGAUACCCGAGUAGUC
RNAcentral lists this ribosomal RNA (465 nucleotides) under uncultured Enterococcus sp. RNAcentral describes it as "bacterial SSU rRNA". It matches the Rfam family "Bacterial small subunit ribosomal RNA", at positions 338 to 795 of the family's 1533-position model. The record is from RNAcentral. Lineage: Bacteria; Bacillati; Bacillota; Bacilli; Lactobacillales; Enterococcaceae.